CGUGGCGACUCGGAAUCUGAAGGAAGUCGGCGGCAAAUAUCUGGUCUGGCAUACAGAAACUUGAUAUUAAGGCUUGUGAGUGUGGAUAAGUCUGCCUAAUAAGACUAAGUCCUAUAGUUGUCCGGAACACUCGGAGUAAAUCAAGCAGACAUAAGUUGGAAAGAA
This 165-nucleotide non-coding RNA is filed under the name human gut metagenome. The record is from RNAcentral.